This 443-nucleotide ribosomal RNA is filed under the name uncultured bacterium. RNAcentral's name for it is "partial 16S ribosomal RNA". It matches the Rfam family "Bacterial small subunit ribosomal RNA", at positions 338 to 795 of the family's 1533-position model. The record is from RNAcentral.
CCUACGGGUGGCUGCAGUGGGGAAUAUUGGGCAAUGGGCGCAAGCCUGACCCAGCAACGCCGCGUGAAGGAAGAAGGCUUUCGGGUUGUAAACUUCUUUUCUCAGGGACGAGGAAAGUGCCGGUACCUGACGAAUAAGCCACGGCUAACUACUGCCCAGCAGCCGCGGUAAGACGUAGGGGGCAAGCGUUAUCCGGAUUUAUUGGGUGUAAAGGGCGUGUAGGCGGGAGCGCAAGUCAGAUGUGAAAACUCAGGGCACAACCCUGAGACUGCAUUUGAAACGGUGUUUCUUGAGUGCUGGAGAGGCAAACGGAAUUCCGUGUGUAGCGGUGAAAUGCGUAGAUAUAAGGAGGAACACCAGUGGCGAAGGCGGAUUGCUGGACAGUAACUGACGCUGAGGCGCGAAAGCGUGGGGAGCAAACAGGAUUAGAUACCCUUGUAGUC